AGACAUUAAUCUUAAGUAUCCAGGGAGCCCUAAAACAUUGUAUCCCACUAGCAAGGACCAUGGUAAUUGCCACGUAAAUCCCCUCCAUUAUGUGGCCCUUAUUAUGACCAGCCAGCCAAGGCUUGCCUUUAAAUCAUACCAAUUGAACCGAGCCUUGUAGAAACACUAUCACCUACGCAUACCUCUGCUUCUUUUCAUUAACCUGCUAUCCUCUUUACAAAUGGGAUUCUUCACCCACUCCCUUCUUCUAGAUUAGCAAUGCCCUGUUAAGUAAACGAACACGAAAUUCAAAGGGAAACAGGAGCAAUCAUCAUUACCAGCUGCCGUGUUAAGCAUUGCGAAAACGCUCACGAUUCACAGAAAAAUCCAUGCUGUUCUUUGAAGGCAUUCAAGCCUUAAUAGCUAGCUGGAUGAAUGUUUAACUUCUAGGCCAGGCACUACUCUGUCCCAACAAUAAGCCCUGUACAUUGGGAAAGGUGCCGAGACAUGAACUUUGGUCUUCUCUGCAAUCCAUCUGGAGCAUUCACUGACAACAUCGACUUUGAAGUUGCACUGACCUGGCCAGCCCUGCCACUUACCAGGUUGGCUCUGUAUGGCUAAGCGUUUUCUCCUAAAAUCCCUUGAAAACUGUGAGAAGACCAUAAGAAGAUCAUAUCUUUAAUUCUAUUUCACAAGUCACACAAUAUUCCAAUCAAAUACAGAUGGUUGAGAAAAGUCAUCCAUCUUCCCUCCCCACCCUCCCACAGCCCCUCAACCACUGCCCUGAAACUUAUAUGCUGUUAUCCGCAGCUCCAUCUGGAGCAUCACAGCUACUGUCAACCCUGACGCUCUUUCUGAAAAAACACCGGAUGGACAUCAGAACUAUUUCUUUAAGGAUGUUACUGAGCCACACAGGAAAACUUGCCUUAUGAUUUUGAAUGCACGGAUCUGAUUUGACUAAACAUGAUAACUAGAGAAUCACCCAAUCUACUCCCAUUUUCAACUCUAAAUCAUCAGAGUGUCUCAAAUCCAAAGCACACACAGACCAGCCUGGCCAACACGGUGAAACUCCACCCCUACUAAAAGUAUAAAAAUUAUCCAGGUGUGGUGGCGGGCGCCUGUAAUCCAAGCUACUUGGGAGUCUGGAGGCAGGAGAAUCCCUUGAACCUGGGAGAUGGAGGUUGCAGUGAGCAGAGAUCACACCACCGCACUCUAGCCUGGGCCACAAAUCAACAACAACAACAACAACAAAAAACAAAGCGCACACAGAGACUGAGGUCCUCUUUGGCAUUGAGAAGAUGGCUAUGCAAGUCCCAACUAGCAAGUGCAAACUUCCCAGCUUCACUUCUGCCAGUGUCCCUUCACCCCUUCUCAACCCCACUGGGAGGCAGGAGGGUGCUUGACAAUAACAGCCUUGGCAUCACUCUGCCAGGGUGUAAUAGGAACUGUUACAAUUCUGAGAUUCUGUAAGUGCUUUGAGAUUUUGGAGUCAGACUGCUUGAACUUGAAUCCUGGCCCUCUCAUCAGAGACUUGACUUAUUUUAGGCAAGUUAUAUAACCAAUUUUACCUCAGUUCCUUACCCAUAAAAUGGGUCUAAUGAGAGUACCUACCACACAGAAUUUUGAUGAAAACUGAAUGAGAUGAAGGCCUUUAAGGCAGUGGUCCCCAACCCUGGGGACACAGACAGGUACCAUUUUGUGGCCUGUUAGGAACUGGGCCACACAGCAGGAGGUGAGCAGUGGGUGAGUGAGAUCAGCGUUAUUUACAGCUGCUCCCCAUUGCUCACCUUACUGCCUGAGCUCCACCUCCUGUCAGAUCAGCAGUGGCAUUAAAUUCUCAUAGCAGCACAAACCCUGUCAUGAACUGCACAUGCGAGGGAUCUAGGUUGUGCGCUCCUUAUGAGAAUCUAAUGCCUAAUGACCUGUCACCGUCUCCCAUCACCCCUAGAUGGGAGUGUCUAGUUGCAGGAAACAAGCUCAGGGCUUCCACUGAUUCUACAUUAUGGUGAGUUGUAUAAUUAUUUCAUUAUAUAAUACAAUGUAAUAAUAAUAGAAACACAGUGCACAACAAAUGUAAUGUGCUUGAAUCAUCCCCAAACCAUCCCAGUCCACGGUCUUCCACAUUUUGUCUUUUCACAAAAUUGUCUUCCACAAAACUGGUCCCUGGUGCCAAAAAGGCUUGGGACCACUGCUUUAAAGCCUUUGCAUAGUGCUUAGAAUUGAGGGGGAAAAAAAAAACAAAAACAAUGUAGCUAGUUGCUACAAUCACUAUAUUGGUGAGUUUCAAAAGGAAAAGAAUUCUGUCCCAUUUAUGCUUGAGCCUUGAGUUGCUAACCAAGCCUGACACAAAAUUACUGUUGAAGGGAUGUGUGAGUCCUAAUUGAAAUGAGGCCUCUUAAGGGAAUUGUGGACCAAACCCCAAGCAGGCAGAAAGCCGUAUCUUAAUUAUUGCAAGUAUUUCAGGCAAGGUGUGGAUGGCCAUUUGAAUUCAAGCAGACUAGGACCUGGGAUGAGAAAGAAGGUGUGUACGUGACUUGAUCUUUGAACUUUAGCUCACCAUCUGGAAGAAGGCUGAGUAUUCUCUGCACUCACAUAGUAGCUAAUGCCUACUCCCCAGCCACCCACAAUUCUUUCUGUAGGAAGGCUCGCUAGAAUACUUUGUGAUAUUGGAUAUUAGUUCCAUAUUCUACUGUGUAUCUUAGUUCAACCAAAUUGUAAUCAUCUGAUAUUUAUUUCUUUUAAUAUAAAUAUAAGUAUAUUAAGUCUUGGCAUGCUUGCUCAGUCUCUCUCUCUCUCCCAUUCCUCCCCGCUCCCCUCUCUCUUUCCCAACAGGCUUGGAAAGCAGGCAUCACCAUGCCUAUUUAACAGUUGGGGUCCCUUGGCCACCAGGUGCUGGAGUAGGAAUCUGAGCCCGGACAUGCCUGAUCUGUAAAUUUUGUGUUUUCCCCACUGUGCUGGGCAGAUCACAGCUAUCAGCGCCAAAUUCAUAGAAGGGGCGCCCCCUGUGGUCAAUUGAGGGAUUUGUGUUUGAGGUAGAUCUCAAGAAGGAAUGGGUGGGGAACUUAGCCUAGGACAGAGCAGAAAGGAGCCCUCACUCCCCAAGCACCAACGGCCUCAGUCCUUCCUGCUGACUCCAGCCUCUAGCUCUCACCCAGACUAUCUGCAUCCUUCUCUCCACCACGCUCCUUUGGAACCUGCGUAAAACACAGAUUAAAGGAAUUCCGCCUUACUUCCCUUUCCGCAUUAUGACCAAAUGGUUUUACACUAUCAUUGAACAGUUUAGUACAAAACAUGCCACCUUUUAAUCUAUUCAUUCAUUUAACAAAUACUUUGGAGUGUUUACCAUGUGCCAAGUGCUGUUCUAAUAGACAUAAGCUGUGAGGUUAUGCUUAUCUGAUUCUCACAGCAACAGCUUUCGAGAUAUGAAUUGGUAUACUCAUUUGACAGAUGAGGAAAUUGAAUUCAUGUAGUGAGAAAGGAAGAGCUGCAAUUCAGGGUUACUGGUUUCUCCUGCACUAAGCACUGAGCCACACUAGAAGAGAAGGCAUGAGGAAGACAAAAGUGAGAAGGUACGAGAGAAGAUAUUAAGUAGAGGUCUAUUAGUUCCUCUUAAAACUAUUUAUGAAAGAGGCGGAUGGGGUAGUGGAUGGGAAAGACAGAUGGAUUCAUGUUCUUCACUCCAGGUUUCCCCCCAUUCCCUUCCCUUUUAAAUGCCUGCUCAUUUUUUGGCUACCUUUCAAGCUCUAGGAAAUACUCUGGAAUUCCAGGCUGGGAGGGGUUUCCUUUGCAGAUCUGGCUAUUGUAACUUUACAAGAAAUUGCUCAAUACUUCCUCUCACCAGUUACAAACCACGGUUUUCUGAAUGAACUUUAUGUUCAUUAAACAGUUAACCCUUCAGCUUUCUGACUCACAUUUUUCAUGUUAUUAAUCAGCUCUUAGAGUAAGGUAAAAUCUAGAACAGACUUUAUAUACACCCUCCCUCCCACACACAUAUACAUACAUAAUACAAACACAGACCACACAUGUCCACAUCCUUAUGCGCAAACACUAAGAAACACACGCAUACACAAACAUACAUGUACACAAAAUUAAAUACAUAGCUAUGGCACUUUCACUAUACAUGUAAACACCCUUACACACAUACAAAUGUACAUGCGCGUGUGCGCACACACAUAUGGAAUUAGCUUUUUCUCUUUGUGGGAGGAGGGAAAUGAAAAGACCCAAAACAUUCAGAUUCCCAAAUGGACACGUAAGAACCCCGUCAUGGAAAUAGGUCUGGGUUUUUUUCUCUUUUGAGGGAAGCAGGGCGUUUCUGGUUACUGUCGCCAUUGCCAUUGUGCCCCUGCUUACCAUCCCCCUGCACCGCCCCCCCGGCCCCCGCCCGCCACUGCUAGGGUUUACAGGUCAUCCCUGGAUUAAAUAAGUGAUAUUGUGUUUUUUUUUCUUUGACACAAAGUAAAAUUAUAAUUAAUAUUGAAUAAAGUAAAAAUGAACUCCUGAGUUCCAGUCCCUUAUGUAACACACCUGGUUUGUGGCAGGCACUCAGGAAAUAUUAGUUGCAUGAACGAAGGCUGCAUUUUCAUUAGAACAACAUGCAGUUCAACCCCUUCAUGUUUCAAUGAGGGUUCAGAUACCCAGAGGGCUAUGCUAUCAUCCUGGAGCCCACUCUGCUAACAAUUAGCAGAACGGAAGCCUUAAUUUCCAGAUUCUAGUGAACUUGAUGAGUCAAGACUAUUGCAAUUGGAAAUCUGUUCUCCUCUGCUGCUGCAUUCCCUGCUUAAUACUCAAGCCAGAAACCAGGAAGGCUGUGGCUUGCCUUUUCACUUCUUGUGUCCUGUUUAAGAAAUAUCUGCUAUCCCAAGCAUCUGGCAUCUUUCUUGACAUAUGUAGCAGUUGCUUUUUGACAGCUUGCUUCUUCAGUGAAUGAAUAAAUUAAUAAAGAGAAAUGUGAUGUUCAGUGAUCCAUUUUGCAGAUAACACUAACAAAGUUGACCUUAGAAUUGGAGUGCCUGGGUUAGAACCCUGCUGGUACCACCUGCUUACUGCAUGCUUCUGAUGUGAGUUCAGGAGAAGACACUGGCAAGGACAGCAAAGAACAGGAGAACACUCUAGCUUCCCUGAUAGCAUUCAAGGUGCUGUCCAAAGCUCUUGAGUUUCUGCUUUCAAGUGACCCUCAGAAAUUCCUCCAUUCACUGCAGAGGUUCUGUUUCUCCUUGCUUUGUUCUGACUUUACGGCAGAACUAAGCUAAUGAGUUAGUUACUAUGGGUUAUCACUUGGAUUUGAAGAACCAUCAUUUCUAGGCAUUGCUGCUCAGAGUGGGUCUGCCCUCAGGGGAAGCUGUCUAACCAGAGCCUAACCCACUAGGGUUUUAUCAGAACCUAACUGACCUGAGGAAAAGAAAUACUCAACUCCAGCAAGCUCCAGCCUUCCAAAUGGAGGAGGAGAAAACCCAACUCCAGCCCACUUCAGCUAUCUUGUCCCACAUAAAGGGGAAGUGGAAGAAACCUGAGAAGCAGGCAUGAAGUUCACAGUCCAGAGACCUUGCCAUCGUAUCCCCUUUUGGAGACACAAGCCAGGAAGGAAGCUCUUCAGUGCAGCUGUGAAUAGAGAAAUGCUGGCUGAGGUUUUGGAGACACUGGGUGAUCAUUCCCAGUGAAAUUUUUAGAUCCCUGGGGACAUGAGCUGCUUUGUCUUUUCCAAGGCUGAAAAAGUUUUGGAAGCCCUCCUAAGCAGGUGCCAGACCCUUUUUUGGCCAGAGACAGGAUCUUACGCUGUUGCCCAGGCUGGAGUGCAAUAGUGUCAUCAUGGCUCACUGUAGCCUGGAACUGCUGGGCUCAAGGGAUCCUCCCAGCUCAGCCUCCCAAGUAGCUAGGAGUAAAGUCUGGAGAACACUUUUUCUUUUGAGCUGUUUACAACCUUUAGCAAUUGAGUAGAGUGUACUCUUGUCAAUAGAAUUUGAAGCACAUUUCUCUCUCUGCCUGAUUUCUGUAGAAUUUGUAAACUAUUUGUGAAUAUUCUUAAUUUAUGGCAAUAUGGUUGCUUACAUAAGUUCAAUAAUAAUCUGUUUUCUUUUACAAUGAGACACAGUUGGAGGAACUGGUUAUUUUCCCAGGGCUUUGACUGAAAUGGCCUUGUGAAUGGUUCCAGGAAAGCCAAUUUUGGAGACCCUAUGUGGAUGAUGAUGCUUGCUGUACUUUCUGUGGGUAAUCGGGCCAAGUAUAUGGGACUGAAGCUAAUUUUGCAGGUGAGAAAAUGGAGGUCCAGAGAGAAAAGUGACUCACCCAAGCUGAAAACAGUUGCAGGAAGAAAAGCCAGGACAGAACUGGGCUGUUAGAAACCUUGGAGUACACUAAAGAUGAGGAACUGAGUCACCGCAAUGCCAAAUGUAACACGCUGUGGGUCAAAAUUUGGAUGGUUGCGUUGGAAAUUAUUCUGAAGCCACAGACAGGGCUAAAAGAGUCUAGAAUGUCCUACUAGCUGUUGGAACCUGCUGGAGUUCUAAAGGCAUGCGAUGUCCUGAAUGUGCUUGACCAAUGGACACAGCAGGUAUUUGAAGAGUUUUGAUGCUUCCUUUCUGUUUUCAGUGCUAUUUUUUUGCUUUAUUUCUUUUAAAAAACUUUCCCCACAGAGGCUAUUUAUUACACAGCAGCAGCCAGCAUGCACCAAGCAGAACUGCUUUUCAUAAUAAACCUAUUUAUCUUCUGGCAUGUCAGAAAUUUCUCAAAUUGAUACUUAUAAUAAAUAUGAUUAAUAACACAUUGUA
This 6743-nucleotide long non-coding RNA is filed under the name Homo sapiens (human). RNAcentral describes it as "PREDICTED lncRNA (TCONS_00257634)". Lineage: Eukaryota; Metazoa; Chordata; Mammalia; Primates; Hominidae. The record is from RNAcentral.